UACGAAGGGGGCUAGCGUUGUUCGGAAUUACUGGGCGUAAAGGGUGUGUAGGUGGUUCAGCAAGUUAGAAGUGAAAUCCCUAGGCUCAACCUAGGAAUUGCUUUUGAGACUGUUGGACUUGAGUACAGGAGAGGUGAGUGGAAUUCCCAGUGUAGAGGUAAAAUUCGUAGAUAUUGGGAGGAACACCAGUGGCGAAGGCGGCUCACUGGCCUGUAACUGACACUGAGACACGAAAGCGUGGGGAGCAAACAGG
This 253-nucleotide ribosomal RNA is filed under the name uncultured bacterium. Its description in RNAcentral is "partial 16S ribosomal RNA". It matches the Rfam family "Bacterial small subunit ribosomal RNA", at positions 524 to 776 of the family's 1533-position model. The record is from RNAcentral.